This 472-nucleotide ribosomal RNA is filed under the name uncultured bacterium. RNAcentral's name for it is "partial 16S ribosomal RNA". It matches the Rfam family "Bacterial small subunit ribosomal RNA", at positions 28 to 507 of the family's 1533-position model. The record is from RNAcentral.
GACGAACGCUGGCGGCGUGCUUAACACAUGCAAGUCGAGCGGAAAGGCCCUUCGGGGUACUCGAGCGGCGAACGGGUGGGUAACACGUGAGUAAUCUGCCCUUGGCUUUGGGAUAACUACCGGAAACGGUGGCUAAUACCGGAUACGACAACCGUCUGCAUGGGCUGGUUGUGGAAAGUUUUUUCGGCCAGGGAUGUGCUCGCGGCCUAUCAGCUUGUUGGUGGGGUAAUGGCCUACCAAGGCUUCGACGGGUAGCCGGCCUGAGAGGGUGACCGGCCACACUGGGACUGAGACACGGCCCAGACUCCUACGGGAGGCAGCAGUGGGGAAUAUUGGACAAUGGGCGGAAGCCUGAUCCAGCAACGCCGCGUGAGGGAUGACGGCCUUCGGGUUGUAAACCUCUUUCAGUACCGACGAAGCGCCGAUGAUGGUGGUGACGGUAGGUACAGAAGAAGCACCGGCCAACUACGUG